GACACCAUAGCUGAGUGGCUACAGUCACAGACAAGAAAUCUGUUUCCCUUUAAGAGCGCAGACCUGAAAUCUGUCUACAUGGGAAUGCAGGUUCGAAUCCUGCUGGUGUUU
Molecule: non-coding RNA, 111 nt
Organism: Russula dissimulans
Lineage: Eukaryota; Fungi; Basidiomycota; Agaricomycetes; Russulales; Russulaceae
Source: the annotation of a GenBank genome assembly